CCUACGGGAGGCAGCAGUGAGGAAUAUUGGUCAAUGGACGAGAGUCUGAACCAGCCAAGUAGCGUGAAGGAUGACUGCCCUAUGGGUUGUAAACUUCUUUUAUAAAGGAAUAAAACGAGGCACGUGUGCCUUUUUGCAUGUACUUUAUGAAUAAGGAUCGGCUAACUCCGUGCCAGCAGCCGCGGUAAUACGGAGAUCCGAGCGUUAUCCGGAUUUAUUGGGUUUAAAGGGAGCGUAGAGGGGUGGUUAAGUCAGUUGUGAAAGUUUGCGGGUUAACCGUAAAAUUGCAAUUGAUACUGGCAGUCUUGAGUACAGUUGAGGUAGGCGGAAUGCGUGGUGUAGCGGUGAAAUGCUUAGAUAUCACGAAGAACCCCGAUUGCGAAGGCAGCUUACCAACCUGUGACUGACAUUGAUACUCGAAAGUGUGGGUAUCAAACAGGAUUAGAUACCCGGGUAGUC
RNAcentral lists this ribosomal RNA (459 nucleotides) under uncultured bacterium. Its description in RNAcentral is "partial 16S ribosomal RNA". It matches the Rfam family "Bacterial small subunit ribosomal RNA", at positions 338 to 795 of the family's 1533-position model. The record is from RNAcentral.